Non-coding RNA from Acanthosepion pharaonis, 83 nucleotides. Lineage: Eukaryota; Metazoa; Mollusca; Cephalopoda; Sepiida; Sepiidae. The record is from the annotation of a GenBank genome assembly.
CCCACCUAAUCACCAAAGUUAAGCAAUGUUAAGCCUGUUCAGUACCUAGAUGGGUGACCACUUGGGAAUAUCAGGUGCUGUAA